Molecule: ribosomal RNA, 253 nt
Filed under: uncultured bacterium
Lineage: Bacteria
Description: partial 16S ribosomal RNA
Rfam family: Bacterial small subunit ribosomal RNA
Source: RNAcentral
UACAGAGGGGGCAAGCGUUGUUCGGAAUUACUGGGCGUAAAGGGCGCGUAGGCGGCCUUCUAAGUCGAACGCGAAAUCCCCGGGCUCAACCCGGGAACUGCGUCCGAUAUUGGAAGGCUUGAAUCCGGGAGAGGGAUGCGGAAUUCCAGGUGUAGCGGUGAAAUGCGUAGAUAUCUGGAGGAACACCGGUCGCGAAGGCAAUCCCCUGGACCUGUACUGACGCUCAUGCACGAAAGCGUGGGGAGCAAACAGG